Molecule: long non-coding RNA, 114 nt
Organism: Melanotaenia boesemani (Boeseman's rainbowfish)
Lineage: Eukaryota; Metazoa; Chordata; Actinopteri; Atheriniformes; Melanotaeniidae
Exons: 3
Source: RefSeq, a predicted model, not a curated record
UUGGCAGCAACAUAUCUCCAAAAAGAUGGAACAGGUGCAACAAAAGGCUGGAAAUGUAUUUGGUACAAUUCAGAAACAGCUGGAGGUGCAUUUAAAACUGAUCAGGGUACCAGG